GCGUUUGUUUUCCCGUUUUGCUCCCUUCUCCCCCUAGCGGCCUGGAGCGGUACUGUUUUCGGAGGUUGCUGCGGUUCCAGCCAAUAGAUCGCUGGAGGGCGGACCCCACACACACCUGCGCCUCAUUCCUCAUCUCAUCAACUCCUGCAUUUAAACGCCGGCUUUUCUCUCACUCGUCGCCAGAUUGUCUGCUUGCCAUACGACCUUCCCCCCCGUUCCUGCGUUCCUGCCGUUCCUGGUUCUCCUGUGUUCCUGCCGUUCCUGGUUCUCCUGUAUUCCUGCCGUUCUUGGUUCUCCUGCGUUCCUGCCGUUCCUGGUUCUCCUGUGUUCCUGCCGUUCCUGGUUCUCCUGUAUUCCUGCCGUUCUUGGUUCUCCUGCGUUCCUGCCAUUCCUGGUUCUCCUGCCAUUCCUGGUCAUCCUGCAUUCCGGUUCAUCACUCCUGGUCAUCAGUCCGCCCUGCAGUUCCCCGGCGCUUCCAGUACCGCUCCUGCCGCUCCCCUCUCGUUUUCUGUUAUCUUUUUGGUUGUUUGUUUUGGUCGUUUAUUUAUUAUUUGUUUAAAUAAAUAUCGUAUUAUCA
Trichomycterus rosablanca is the source of this 577-nucleotide long non-coding RNA. RefSeq lists it as uncharacterized. The transcript has 2 exons. NCBI's taxonomy places the organism in Eukaryota, Metazoa, Chordata, Actinopteri, Siluriformes, Trichomycteridae. The record is from RefSeq and is a predicted model, not a curated record.